RNAcentral lists this ribosomal RNA (820 nucleotides) under uncultured Bacillota bacterium. Its description in RNAcentral is "bacterial SSU rRNA". It matches the Rfam family "Bacterial small subunit ribosomal RNA", at positions 70 to 867 of the family's 1533-position model. Lineage: Bacteria; Bacillati; Bacillota. The record is from RNAcentral.
AAAGUCCCCUUCGGGGGGCGAGUAGAGUGGCGCACGGGUGAGUAACACGUAGGUAAUCUACCUCUGGGUGGGGAAUAACAGCCGGAAACGGCUGCUAAUACCGCAUAAUGCAGCGGCACCACAUGGUGACAGUUGUUAAAGCGGGGGAUCGUAAGACCUCGCGCCUAGAGAUGAGCCUGCGGCGGGUUAGCUAGUUGGCAGGGUAACGGCCUACCAAGGCGACGAUCCGUAGCCGGCCUGAGAGGGCGGACGGCCACACUGGCACUGACAUACGGGCCAGACUCCUACGGGAGGCAGCAGUCGGGAAUUUUGGGCAAUGGGCGAAAGCCUGACCCAGCAACGCCGCGUGAAGGAUGAAGCUUUUCGGAGUGUAAACUUCAUAAGAAUGGGACGAAUAAGGAGGGGUUAACACCCCCUUUGAUGACGGUACCAUUUGUAAGCUCCGGCUAACUCCGUGCCAGCAGCCGCGGUAAUACGGGGGGAGCAAGCGUUGUUCGGAUUUACUGGGCGUAAAGGGCGCGUAGGCGGCGCAACAAGUCACUUGUGAAAUCUCCGGGCUUAACCCGGAGCGGCCAAGUGAUACUGUCGUGCUAGAGUGCGGAAGGGGCUACUGGAAUUCUCGGUGUAGCGGUGAAAUGCGUAGAUAUCGAGAGGAACACCUGCGGCGAAGGCGGGUAGCUGGGCCGACACUGACGCUGAGGCGCGAAAGCCAGGGGAGCGAACGGGGAUUAGAUACCCCGGUAGUCCUGGCCUUAAACGAUGGAUACUUGGUGUCCGGGGUUACAUAGUCCCGGGUGCCCGGCGCUAACGCAUUAAGUAU